AAAUUUUCCAUCAUUUUUUUCCUAGGUAAUUAUUUUUACUAAAAAUUAAAAUUGUGCAGAUUUGGGUUCACCCACUUCCCUCCAUUAUUUCCCACCAUUUUUUUCAAAUACUUUUCACUAUAGAGUUUGGGUUUAAUUCUAAUUUCAUAAUUAAACCGCACAUUCUAAUUCGGUCACUGUUUGAACUACUGCCAGAAGAUUCGAGGUCACCUUGUUGGCCAUUGGGUUGGAUUUCGAUUACUUCUCCUUGCUGAUUCAGACAGUUCUUUUCAUAUUAAGGCUUUUACAAGGAUUUUACCGGGUGGGUGGUCACAAUAUUGGUGCCGGAGGAGAAGAAAUAGUUGGUGGCGGUGAAGCCGGAGCCGAAGAUUGAGUUUGUGGCACUGGAGCCAUAGCAGGCGCUUGAGCAAAAGUGCAAGUGAAUUGAGGCAAGAAAAGAAAGGAAGCAUCUCUUGGUAGACCAAUCACUCGUGGAGAGAAACGUAAGAAAGACCCAUAUGAAAAUUAGAGAUGGAAAGAAGUUUGGGUCGAAACACGAGCAUAAGAUACUUGCCAAUUGAAGAACUCAAAAGAAGUCAAUCGACAGAUGACCAAGGCAAUCCAAUCAUGCCAUCAGAGGAAGAAACUCUCUUCUGCUAGAUGGAUGUAGUUGGUGACAUGUGUAAGGAAAGGGCAUAACGCCUUUGCUUUGAGAAGAACUUUUACCGUCUUCAGUGUGGAUUGCAAGGUAUAGAGAGUUCUGCCACCAUGUCAGAUGAGCAGCUUGAGGAGAUGCGAUAGAAAGUUCAGGAGCAUUCUAGGAAGUAUGAGAGGAAAGAAAAAGAAGGAUUGAGGAGAAGCGGGGUAGGACGACAUUUAAGUCAGACGUCAAAGAACUCAAGGCUCAAGUAAAUAUCUUAGUCAAGCUUCCUCGCUCUCCGCCCCUAGCUCUGAUGAUGAUGGUGGAGAGGAUGAGGAUGGAAUGGAGUAUUAGGUUAUGUUGUUGUUUUAGGUUUGAAUUAUGUUAGGUUGGAAUGUUUGGUAAUUGUUUGCGUACUUUUUUUAUACUUGUUUACAUAUUAUUUAAGUUGGAUGAAUA
Capsicum annuum is the source of this 1078-nucleotide long non-coding RNA. RefSeq lists it as uncharacterized. The record is from RefSeq and is a predicted model, not a curated record. NCBI's taxonomy places the organism in Eukaryota, Viridiplantae, Streptophyta, Magnoliopsida, Solanales, Solanaceae. The transcript has 4 exons.